RNAcentral lists this transfer RNA (72 nucleotides) under Camelus bactrianus (Bactrian camel). It matches the Rfam family "tRNA". From Rfam's summary of the family: Transfer RNA (tRNA) molecules are approximately 80 nucleotides in length. Their secondary structure includes four short double-helical elements and three loops (D, anti-codon, and T loops). Lineage: Eukaryota; Metazoa; Chordata; Mammalia; Artiodactyla; Camelidae. RNAcentral also lists the same sequence under 2 other names. The record is from Rfam by way of RNAcentral.
GAGGGUAGAGCUCAGUGGCAGAGCAUGUGCUUAGCAUGCACGAGGUCCUGGGUUCAAUCCCCAGUACUGCCA